CGUUGGUGCUAGUUUUAUUAGCACCAACGGUUUCACCCGUUGGGACAGUUCGGUUUUUUCCAAAACAACAGAGGGAGCCCGCCCCACACCCCCAAAUUUUGUCUCCCCCCAAAUUAACAAAAUUCGAUCUCUCUCCCUCUCUGCUUCCCUCCCUCUCUCUCGCGCCAAAACCAGCGCCGUCCUCCUCCUCUCGUCGUCGUCGUCGUAGUCGGAGGUCUCUCGCCGCUUUUUCUCUCCCCUAAAAGCCCUAGUUCAUCAUCGUCGGAGCUCUCUUCACUGAUUCGAGCUCCUCCUCUGAUUUGAGCUCCUCUCGUCGUCGUCAUCAUCGUCAUCGUCGUCGCCGACCUCUCGAUUGGACGUUGAUGUUGCCACCGCUAGAAGCUCUGUCGCUCCCUCCUCUUUGGUGAAAACCCUAACCCUAAUCCCCCCUUUCCUUCCAAAACCUACUCACCGCUGGAAGCUCUGUCGCUUCCCUGAUAUUUUUCUUCAUUGAAUUUGCUUAGUUCAUUCUUAUUUUCUACUGCUUUCUUGCUUUCUAUGCUUGUAGUUUUUUUUCCUCUGGUAGAAGGUGUUGACAGAAGUUUGGUUUUGAUUUGUUUGAAAUAAAAUGAAGGUCAUUUCCUAAGGGAGAUUGGAUAUAACAGAACAUCAUAUUUAUUUUUGUUGGAUGAAGCUUGCAUAUUAUAGUAUCUAGGUUUCCUCUAUUUUGAUUGAUGUACAAGGCUUCAGUGAUGAUUGAUUCUUUAAAGUUGCCUCCUUUUAUCUUUCCAAUUACUGAAACCACUGGUAAAAUGUGGAGCUGAAGAGACAUCUGAGGAGCCCUUAAAAAGUUUGUUUUUUAAUUCAUUGUAUAAUGUUUUGUUGUUAUGAUUUUUCCCAUUGUAUUUGCUUAAUUUAUCCUUAUUUUUUGUUAUUACCUAUGCUUGUUGUAGUUUUUCUCGUGGUAGAGAUUGUUGACAGAAAUAUGGUUUUGUUCUGCUUGAUAAUUUGUGUUAUUUUUGAGAUAAGAUGGAGUUUCAUAUCCCCAAGGGAAAUUGGAUAUAACACAACAUUUUUUUUGUUUGAUGAAGCUUGCAUUAUUUAGCAUCUAGGUUUCCUCUCGUUCGAUUGAUGUGCAUAGAUCAAACUCAGUGCUUGUUACCUAGUAUAGAAUAAGGCUCCAGUGAUGAUUGAUUCUUCAAAUUUGCCACCUGUUAUCGUUCCAAUAUCUGCAGCCACUGGAUUGAUGUGGAGUUGAAGAGACAUAUGAUGAGCCUUAAAAAAUGCUGCUUUCUUUUAGUGUAAUGUAGAAUGAUUUGUUCUUACAGUGCUUUCCUAUUGUAUUUUCUUAAUUCAUCCCUAUUUUGUAUUGUUUUCUAUUGCUUUUUUUUUGUCCUUGGUAGGAAGUGUUGAGAGAAAUAUGGUUUUGAUCCAUUUCAUAACUCUGUGCUACUUUUGAGAUGAAAUGGAGGUCAUACUUACAACAUUCAUAUGUAAUUGAAUCACCAGAUAUAUGCUCCAAGAUGAACUGAAUUCUUAGGCCCAAGCUCCUUUCUUCAUGGAUUAUGACAAGAAAUUCUUGAAAUAACACAAUUUUUUGGUGUAUUCUAUCUCAAGUACGGAAUCUGUAGAUUUUAAAAAAAAGUUUCUUGUUUAAGGACGUGUACUCCAGGAUUACCUAUGGUGUGGGAUGGUGAAAUAUGCGCCUGGAUUCCAUCUCCGUGCCUUCCUCUCCAUGGUCAAGUUGACCUUCUCUACGCGAUCAUAAGGUGAAUGAUUGGCCCCCUUCUUAUCAAAGAAACGGUGGUUCCUCCAUUUUUAUCAAACAAUUAAUGGAGGAAGGAUUUUUCGACUUGAGGGGGACCCCCUCUGCCUUCUUGCAAAUAUAUAUGGCAGGAUACUACCCAAAUUUGGUACACAGGUGAUACAACAACAAAGUUCAUAGUUACUCUUGUGGAAUCAUCUAAUCGCAGAUUAAAGUACUUUACUCUUAUGUAUAUAGUUGGAUCAUUGGAUAAUGAUGGCCGGUGAGAGGUGGGAAAACCAUCUUCGGAAGCAUCAUCUUUUAGUGAGCUGAUAAAAUUUCUUCAGAGACCAUUAAAUUUGUUUAUGUAUUUGAUUUGAUGUUGUAGUCACGUGAACUAACCUGUUUAUUGAACUUGUGCCCUUUAAAUUUCUUCAGAGACUAAACUUUACAGGGACAAAUCUCCGAAAACUGUUGGAGUUGUUGAUAAAAUCAAUAUUUUUCGCCCUGACAGGAUUUUUAAGUUUCUGGUUGAGAUACACUAUCAAAUUACAAUUGCUAUUCAUCCUGGGCACAAAUGUUAUCGGUUGUCUGCCAUUGAAGCUCAUGCUGGGUACUGAUAGUACAAUCUGUGAGAUAUGAACAUGUAUGACUUUUGUCAUUAGUUGUUGAGCUUCACUUCUUAUGCUGAAUUAUUUAAGAACAUUUAAUCAUUGGGCUUUCAAGUAUGUUUCUUUUUAUCUCUUUGUGUUAUGUUAACUAGAUUCUUGUUCAACCAAUGUUUGUUAUCAAAUCUAUUGCAGUUACAUUUUCAAUAUA
This is an RNA transcript of Asparagus officinalis (garden asparagus), 2542 nucleotides long. RefSeq lists it as uncharacterized. The record is from RefSeq and is a predicted model, not a curated record. Lineage: Eukaryota; Viridiplantae; Streptophyta; Magnoliopsida; Asparagales; Asparagaceae. The transcript is spliced from 3 exons.